Long non-coding RNA from Hydractinia symbiolongicarpus, 881 nucleotides. RefSeq lists it as uncharacterized. The transcript is spliced from 4 exons. The record is from RefSeq and is a predicted model, not a curated record. NCBI's taxonomy places the organism in Eukaryota, Metazoa, Cnidaria, Hydrozoa, Anthoathecata, Hydractiniidae.
UUUGUUUUGUUUUACUCAUUUUUCAGUUGUAUGCCGAGACAAACUCUACCGUGGAAUCGUUUUCCACAAUUUUCAAGGGUGUUGCCGGAAUAAAAUUCUUAAGAAGGACAGUAAGUAAACCAACAAAAUUAUAUUCUUCUUGAGCCCGCAGUCUGCGUAAUUCCAACGGCAUUUUUCCAUGGUUUUAUAAUAAUUGCUAAAUUAAUGGAGAUAAUUACUUUCUCUUUGUUAAUUAAAUAAGGCUCCCUUAAUAUCUUAGUGGUGAUUCUUGCAACAGUUCGCACUCUCACAUUUUUCAAUCCCAACCGUGCUAAGAAUAUAGCGAGAAUAUAAAAAUAUUCAUGUUGAAACUUUAAACGAACAAUACAUAUCAUUCUAUGAAAGUCUCAAACUCCUUCCAAGGUAAGGGUCGUAACGCUCUUGGCAGUUACUGCCCCACUGAAAUUUGGCACAAUUUCAUUAUAAACAUAGAUUCCUAAAAUUAAUUAGUUUGCAAAAAAUGAACCCAAAUACAAAGACCAAAAGUUUUGUAUUGUUGCCUCAGCCCGAGGAAUGCAAUAUUCCUUAAAUAAGGGAUAAGGGCUGAAAAGAAUGUGCAAAAAAUUUGGUAAGAUACGUUCACGUCGAAUAUUCAUGAAAGCAUAAAUUUGUUGCAACAUGUUCUUUUAUAAUUUAUUUUCAUUUCUAGGAAGCAACGUAAAAUGUUUGAAGAGGUUGCUGAGCGCCGACGUAAUCGGCAACAAGCUGCUAGCGAGAAACGUCGCCCUGAGCAGCCAAAACAAUUAACGCUGGUGGAUCAACUCCGGAAAGAAAUAAUAAGACUAAACUCAAAAGUACGUCAACUGGUAACGAAGACAUGCUAAAAGAGCUGCAAGAAUCAG